GACGAACGCUGGCGGCGUGCCUAAUACAUGCAAGUCGAACGCUUUUUCUUUCACCGGAGCUUGCUCCACCGAAAGAAAAAGAGUGGCGAACGGGUGAGUAACACGUGGGUAACCUGCCCAUCAGAAGGGGAUAACACUUGGAAACAGGUGCUAAUACCGUAUAACACUAUUUUCCGCAUGGAAGAAAGUUGAAAGGCGCUUUUGCGUCACUGAUGGAUGGACCCGCGGUGCAUUAGCUAGUUGGUGAGGUAACGGCUCACCAAGGCAACGAUGCAUAGCCGACCUGAGAGGGUGAUCGGCCACACUGGGACUGAGACACGGCCCAGACUCCUACGGGAGGCAGCAGUAGGGAAUCUUCGGCAAUGGACGAAAGUCUGACCGAGCAACGCCGCGUGAGUGAAGAAGGUUUUCGGAUCGUAAAACUCUGUUGUUAGAGAAGAACAAGGAUGAGAGUAAAACGUUCAUCCCCUGACGGUAUCUAACCAGAAAGCCACGGCUAACUACGUGCCAGCAGCCGCAGUAA
RNAcentral lists this ribosomal RNA (523 nucleotides) under uncultured bacterium. RNAcentral's name for it is "partial 16S ribosomal RNA". It matches the Rfam family "Bacterial small subunit ribosomal RNA", at positions 28 to 523 of the family's 1533-position model. The record is from RNAcentral.